This 253-nucleotide ribosomal RNA is filed under the name uncultured bacterium. RNAcentral describes it as "partial 16S ribosomal RNA". It matches the Rfam family "Bacterial small subunit ribosomal RNA", at positions 524 to 776 of the family's 1533-position model. The record is from RNAcentral.
UACGUAGGGGGCAAGCGUUGUCCGGAUUCAUUGGGCGUAAAGAGCGUGUAGGCGGCCAGGUAGGUCGGUUGUGAAAACUGGAGGCUCAACCUUCAGACGUCGACGGAAACCGUGUGGCUAGAGUCCGGAAGAGGAGAGUGGAAUUCCUGGUGUAGCGGUGAAAUGCGCAGAUAUCAGGAAGAACACCAAUGGCGAAGGCAGCUCUCUGGGACGGUACUGACGCUGAGACGCGAAAGCGUGGGGAGCGAACAGG